ACUCCCCAUCUCUGGAGUCUCACCUUAGAGUCCUCUCCACCAGCAAAUCACUCUCGGCCUCCUCCCAACUUGGGUGUUUCCCCUGUUGCCCCAAGACCAGCUCUGAGAGCUGAGGUCAGGCCCCACCCAGCAUGUAGUAGGUGCUCAAUACGUGUUUGUUGAAUGUUUCAGCCAACAAACCAAGAAAGGCAUACAUAAAAAAUGUGGACAUGCAAGUUCAUGAACAUCCAUCUUCAUUCUCCUGGGAUCAGUAAGUUCACAUGAGGUGAGUAGGGAGGGGGCAGGGAGGAUGGAGGGGUGGCAGGGCACCAUCCUCAGAACAGCUCCAGCACACAGUAGGUGCUCAGAGAGUGUGGAUUUAGAGAAAACUGUGAGCCUAGCCAUGUAUCCAGGAGGUUCUAUAGAAGUAACACUGAGCAGGAUUUGGAGGCCUGAAAAAAUGUUCAUCAGCAGUCCAAAAAUGUCCCUUAAACAUCAGGGCACAUUGCCACCUGGCCCAACUUUGCCUAGCACACUGAAGAAGACGGUGUAGGACAUUUUCUGAAUGUGCACCCUCAUUCCAACUGUUUACAUCAUUAAUUCAUAUGGCCCAAUUUACAUCUGCACACCAACUCAAUACUUUUUAUGAUGCAAUUACUACUCAGAGAUGAAUUUUUUAUGAGUUUCCUUUUAAUGUCUCCAGGGCCUUUUAUUCUGAAGAAAACCUCCUUGUAGAAGAUGGCUAAUCUUUCUUACAGUGAAGAUUGAAAGCCUUCUUGUUCUCCCAGGCACAACCUAAAUGACACUUCUUCCAGGAAGCCUUUGCUGGCCUGGAUGAAUGGGGAGGUAGAGCUCCCCGUGUGAUGGGCAGCAAAGUAGGUUGGUGGUUAAGAGAACAAAAAGUGGGGUCAAAAUAACCUUGUUUCAGAUUCUCACUCCAGCACUUAGUAGCUGUGCAAACUUGAAUAAGUAACUCAACUUCUCUGAGCUCCAGAAACUUCAUCUCAGCAUAGGGUUCAAUAGCCUCUCUCCUAGACUUGCCUUUAGAAUGAGUGAGAUCUUACAGGCUAAGUACUUGGCACAGAGUUAGCACUCAUGAAAUAUCCACUACUAUUAAUAUAACACACUAGUACAACACAGCAGCUGGCAGUCAUCCACACAGAUAGGUUCACCUUUUUGGCCUCCAUAAUUCAUUUGGUGGUUAUGGGGAUAAAGGUGCAGGUGCUCACCCUCCCCCAGAGAGAUACAAAGCAUGUCUUAGGAGUUUAAUGUCCACAAGAUUUGGUAUACAUCAAAUUGUCUUUCUUUCUUUUUUCUUGAUCAUCACAGUGUUGAUCAGGUCUGUCUACCGAAUCAGGAAGGGGAAGCAGCAGGGGAAAAGGUAGAGGGAGGCCUGGGGAAGCAGUUUGCCCUGGGAUGAGGUGGUGAAGGCAGCCUGGAUUUGGACUCUGCUUCCUAGAGUUUCUGAGGUCUUGGGCUGGGAGGUGCCUUCUUUCCAUUUUACAGAUGUAACACUUUAGGUCCACAAAGGGGAGGGAAGGGGCUAAGGUCCUAUUGCUCCUCCCAGUGCCUGGAAUAACCCAUUUUUAGGGAAGCUUCCUCUGAAUGUCUAAGACACCCUGGAUUUCCUUUUCAAAACACUCUCCCAACUUCUCGUAAAGGCUUUUUCUUUUUCUUUUAUCCUCACACUUUAUAAUUAUCUAUCUUUCUCUAUUUUCCUUCUUUCUUUCUCUCUCAUCUAUCUACCUUUAUCUUCUUAUUUUUUAUUUGACAAAUAAAAAUUAUACACAUUUAUGGUGUAUAACACUGUAUUUUGAAAUAUGUAUACCCUAUGGAAUGGCCAUACCAAGCUAAUUAGCAUAUGUAUUACUGCACAUACUUAACAUUUAUUUGUAGUGAGAACACUUCAAAUCUAUUUUCUUAGCAAUUCUCAAGUACACAAUACAUUGUUAUUAACUAUAGUCACCCAUGCUGUAUAAUAGAUGCCUUGAAUUUAUUCCUCCUAACUGAAAUUUUGUAUUCUUUGACCAACAUCUCUAAAAUUUCCUUGCCAUAUUAUUGAUAAAACAUUACACAUUCCAAAAACAAAACAUUCAAAAUAAAACAUUCAAACAGCACAAAAACUCUCUCACCUCCUUGAACCCUAGUACCCCAGCUUUCUCACUGAGACACCAACUUUUCCCAAUUUCCUGCAGAUCCUUCCAGAGACCUUCUCUGCAAGAACCAAUAUAUCAAAGCCUAUCCAAGGCUCUUGUUUUGUACAAAUGGACACGAAGUGCAGUCUUUGCCUGUGCCUUCAUUUUUCUCACUUAGGUGUUUUUCUGUCACCUUAUAGGGAUCUGCUUCAUUUAAGGGCCACAUGGCAUCUCAUGCUAGAAUAAGCCAAAUUGCAUUUAAUCAAUCUAUCAAUGGACGUUUUGGUUGCUCCCAAAUCUUCAUCUAUUACUACAUUUUUAAUAUCUGCCUUUCCCACCUGACUGUAGACUUUAUGAGGAUAGUGCAGUCUGUGUCUAUUUUAUUUCUGUCUCUUCAAAGUAUAGUAUGGGGUGUCUGAAACAUGGUAGGUGCUCAAUAAAUAGUCCUUAGAUGGAUGGAUAAAAGGAUGGAUAGAUGGAUAGAUGGAUGGAUGGAUAGAUGGAUGGAUGAUGGAUGGAUGGAUGGAUGGAUGAUAAAUAGAUGGAUCGGUUAGUUGUAGAACCUGGACUAAGUCUCUGAUUCUCCUACCCCACUCUCUUGUGGCCUGAGGAACCCAGCUCUUUGGCAGUCUCACCCAAGGAAGCACGCAAUACAGAGUCCCCGUCUUCAGGCAGAGCCAACUGUGGAGACGAGCACAUGCUGUCCCGCUGUGCUCACAGCUCCAUGAGCAAUAGCAGGCUCCCAACCAAAGCUCUCCCUUGGACGCUCACAGAUAGCAGCGGCUUCCCAAGGCCUGCUGGGUGGAGUUGCACCACGUUAUGGAAACUUCUAUUUCUGCUUUAUAAAAACAAAGUAAGGAAAGGAAACCUGGCUCGGCAAGAGACACAUGCUGGCCCCGUGAGUCAUCCUUCUCCAAGCAAGACCAGCAAAUCCUCCCAAGACUGGGACCUUCACUGAGUCUUUGGCCAACAUGCUUAUGUUUCUCCCUCCAGAACCCCAGAGCCCUGUAUACAUGGGAGUUGCAAACUCAAGUGCCCCCCAGGAGACUGGCCAGAAAUGCACAAUAAAAAGUGAGGCCAACACCGGGCAAAAUGAAGGACACUUUUCUCUUCUACACCAGCAAUCUGGUUUUGUUUUGUUUUUUUUAAUGUGAAAUCUCUCAACUUUUAAAUUCCAGAGACCAAUGAAGGUAUUUUUUUAAAUGCUACAUAGGCUAAGUCAACUUACAGAGGGCUGGCUUUGGUCAGAGGGCCACCUGUGUGAGCCUCUGUUGGAUGCCCUGUUGGAUGUUGGAUGUGAGAGUCAGCAACACUGGAGAUUAUUUACAUUUUCACCUUCUCUGUGGACUGGGACUCUCUCUGUGCAAUUCUGUAUCUCUGAGACCCUGCAGAGUGGGAAAAUAAAGCAAUUGUUGUGUGCUUUUUCUGCUUUUAAUUAAUGCAUUGAUUUUACAGAUACGUAUUGAUCAUUCCAUGUAUAUGCUAGUCUAGGUGACGUCCGCUUUGCAUCUCUUUUCUAUCUUCUUUCUGCAUCUGCUGCAUCCUAGUGGUUAUAAGCUUAAGCUCUAGUUUCAAAUUGCCUGGGUUCAAAUCCUGGCUCUGUCACUUACUAGCUAAGUGACCUUGGACUUGGGAUUCAGCUUUUUUCCCAAGCCUCAGUUUGCUCGCUUAUGAAAUAGGGGUCAUUAUAGUCUCUCUCACUGUGAGAACUAAAUGAACUGAUGUCAGGAAAUGUUUAGAAUACCCCCUGGCUCCUGUCCAGCUGUUGAUCAUCACCCAUUUGCCACAUUCUUGUUAAAUGCCCUUUAUGGGUUAAGCUUGUUCUUGGCAUUAAGGUUUCUGCUAUAAGCAAAGCGGGGCCCACUCCCACAAAGACUUUCUUACUAAAUUCUCAAAGUAGCCCCAUUUUACAGAUGCAAAAACUGCGGCUCAGGGAGGGAAAGUGACUCUCCUGAGGUCACACAGCUGGUCAGUGUCUGAGAUGGGAUUCCAAUCAAGUACAUCUGUCCUUCCUACAAGAACCCAUGCUUCUUCUGGGUGCA
Molecule: long non-coding RNA, 4156 nt
Filed under: Pongo abelii (Sumatran orangutan)
Lineage: Eukaryota; Metazoa; Chordata; Mammalia; Primates; Hominidae
Description: lincRNA
Source: RNAcentral